GAUGAAGAACGCAGCGAAAUGCGAUAAGUAAUGUGAAUUGCAGAAUUCAGUGAAUCAUCGAAUCUUUGAACGCACCUUGCGCUCCUUGGUAUUCCGAGGAGCAUGCCUGUUUGAGUGUCAUGAAAUUCUCAACCUUUUCAGCUUUCUUUGUUGAUCAGGCUUGGAUGUGGGAGUAUGUGGGCUUCUCAGAAGUCGGCUCUCCUGAAAUGCAUUAGCGGGACCUUUGUUGCCUGGCUUUGGUGUGAUAAUUAUCUACGCCAUUGUAGUCAAGCAGCUUAAAAUGAGGUUUCAGCUUCUAACCGGCUCCCCUGAGACAACUUUUUGACAAUUUGACCUCAAAUCAGGUAGGACUACCCGCUGAACUUAAGCAUAUCAAUAAGCGGAGGA
This 387-nucleotide unclassified non-coding RNA is filed under the name soil metagenome. RNAcentral describes it as "partial contains 5.8S ribosomal RNA, internal transcribed spacer 2, and large subunit ribosomal RNA". The stretch from base 1 to 120 matches the Rfam family "5.8S ribosomal RNA", at positions 35 to 154 of the family's 154-position model. The record is from RNAcentral.